CAAUAGCGUAUAUUUAAGUUGUUGCAGUUAAAAAGCUCGUAGUUGGAUUUCGGUUGAGAACGGCCGGUCCGCCGUUAGGUGUGCACUGUUUGGUCUCAGCUUCCUGGUGAGGAGGUGUGCUUCACGGCCACUUAGUCACCGUGGUUACUUUGAAAAAAUUAGAGUGUUCAAAGCGGGCUUACGCUUGAAUAUAUUAGCAUGGAAUAACACCAUAGGACUCCUGUCCUAUUUCGUUGGUCUCGGGACGGGAGUAAUGAUUAAGAGGAACAGUUGGGGGCAUUCGUAUUUCAUUGUCAGAGGUGAAAUUCUUGGAUUUAUGAAAGACGAACUUCUGCGAAAGCAUUUGCCAAGGAUGUUUUCAUUGA
RNAcentral lists this ribosomal RNA (365 nucleotides) under uncultured eukaryote. Its description in RNAcentral is "partial 18S ribosomal RNA". It matches the Rfam family "Eukaryotic small subunit ribosomal RNA", at positions 592 to 976 of the family's 1831-position model. The record is from RNAcentral.